UGCCCAGCAACUCCUAUCCCUACCUCCUCGUGGUACUGGCCGGGGUACUAGAAACCUUGGGGAAGAUCGGGUAACCAACCCCCGGUGGGAACUUUGGUCGUAUGCUGACAGGGAAGG
Aedes aegypti (yellow fever mosquito) is the source of this 117-nucleotide non-coding RNA. The record is from Rfam. NCBI's taxonomy places the organism in Eukaryota, Metazoa, Arthropoda, Insecta, Diptera, Culicidae.